UCAGGUUUGUCUCAUAAUAUUUCUAUGUUGUUGUGGUACAGCUUUAGAAAGCUCCUUGAUCCUGGAGGGACUCUGUUGAGUUAUUAGAAGUGAUUACAGAGACAGCAGGAGUAGCCUGUUCUGGGAAAACAACAUGCAUUAUUGCCUUACUUCUGGUAGAACAUCUGCCUGAUUCAUCUUGGUUUUCACUUGGGAUAAAUAUCUGAGCUUUUUGAGCCUGUUUAUUUGUGUGCCUCCAGUAAAAUAUCAGUUUCCUUGCCGCAACAGCCAUCUAUUGGGGCACCAGAUGUUGUGUAGGUUGUGUUUAGAGCUUGCAGCUUUAACCUUUGGCAAAUUUCAGUCUGUAGACAUUAAUGGAGCUAUGUUAUUAUUUGGAAAAGUUUAUUUGACAGGAUAUCCUUUAACUUGA
Mangifera indica (mango) is the source of this 409-nucleotide long non-coding RNA. RefSeq lists it as uncharacterized. The transcript has 2 exons. The record is from RefSeq and is a predicted model, not a curated record. Lineage: Eukaryota; Viridiplantae; Streptophyta; Magnoliopsida; Sapindales; Anacardiaceae.